Non-coding RNA from Aphanomyces cochlioides, 79 nucleotides. Lineage: Eukaryota; Oomycota; Saprolegniomycetes; Saprolegniales; Verrucalvaceae. The record is from the annotation of a GenBank genome assembly.
GCCACAAUGGCGUAGUUGGUAACGCGACGGCACUAUAGCAGUAGAGGAAGGACCCCGGGUUUGAGUCCCGGGGGUGGCG